Molecule: unclassified non-coding RNA, 325 nt
Filed under: soil metagenome
Description: partial contains 5.8S ribosomal RNA, internal transcribed spacer 2, and large subunit ribosomal RNA
Rfam family: 5.8S ribosomal RNA (bases 1-120)
Source: RNAcentral
GAUGAAGAACGUAGCGAAAUGCGAUAAGUAGUGUGAAUUGCAGAAUUCAGUGAAUCAUCGAAUCUUUGAACGCACAUUGCGCCCCUUGGUAUUCCAUGGGGCAUGCCUGUUCGAGCGUCAUUUGUACCUUCAAGCUUUGCUUGGUGUUGGGUGUUUGUCCCGAGGGACUCGCCUUAAAGUAAUUGGCAGCCAGUGUUUGGUUUUGAAGCGCAGCACAAGUCGCGAUUCAAGGCUACACGCCCGCUUCCACAAGCCUUUUUUCACUUUUGACCUCGGAUCAGGUAGGGAUACCCGCUGAACUUAAGCAUAUCAAUAAGCCGGAGGA